UGACUGAUUUCCUCUGGUGUUUAGA
Molecule: microRNA, 25 nt
Filed under: Salmo salar (Atlantic salmon)
Lineage: Eukaryota; Metazoa; Chordata; Actinopteri; Salmoniformes; Salmonidae
Description: ssa-miR-29b-2-5p
Gene: ssa-miR-29b-2-5p
Source: miRBase by way of RNAcentral